AUCCAGCUGACGAGCCCCAAAUAGGACGAAACGCGAACCUUGGAU
This 45-nucleotide non-coding RNA is filed under the name Schistosoma bovis. RNAcentral also lists the same sequence under 1 other name. The record is from RNAcentral. Lineage: Eukaryota; Metazoa; Platyhelminthes; Trematoda; Strigeidida; Schistosomatidae.